RNAcentral lists this non-coding RNA (94 nucleotides) under human gut metagenome. RNAcentral's name for it is "SAM riboswitch (S box leader)". It matches the Rfam family "SAM riboswitch aptamer (S box leader)". Rfam says of the family: The SAM riboswitch is found upstream of a number of genes which code for proteins involved in methionine or cysteine biosynthesis in Gram-positive bacteria. The SAM riboswitch acts at the level of transcription termination control. The record is from RNAcentral.
CUUAUCAAGAGUGGCGGAGGGAACAGGCCCUGUGAUGCCCGGCAACCUGCUUUUUGCAAGGUGCCAAUUCCUGCGGUGAAACCGACAGAUGAGG